UACGUAGGGGGCAAGCGUUGUCCGGAUUUAUUGGGCGUAAAGAGCGUGUAGGCGGCCAAGCAGGUCCGCUGUGAAAACUCGAGGCUCAACCUCGAGACGUCGGUGGAAACCGUUUGGCUAGAGUCCGGAAGAGGAGAGUGGAAUUCCCGGUGUAGCGGUGAAAUGCGCAGAUAUCGGGAGGAACACCCGUAGCGAAGGCGGCAUCCUGGACCGGCAUUGACGCUGAGGCGCGAAAGCCAGGGGAGCAAACGGG
This 253-nucleotide ribosomal RNA is filed under the name uncultured bacterium. RNAcentral describes it as "partial 16S ribosomal RNA". It matches the Rfam family "Bacterial small subunit ribosomal RNA", at positions 524 to 776 of the family's 1533-position model. The record is from RNAcentral.